RNAcentral lists this transfer RNA (99 nucleotides) under Acidobacteriota bacterium. Its description in RNAcentral is "Acidobacteria bacterium (activated sludge metagenome) tRNA-Sec". It matches the Rfam family "Selenocysteine transfer RNA". The record is from RNAcentral. Lineage: Bacteria; Pseudomonadati; Acidobacteriota.
GGAGGCGAAUCUGGUCUGGUGACUGGCGCGGACUUCAAAUCCGUUGGGCCGGGGCGAGAGCAUCGGUCGGUCGGGUUCGAUUCCCACACGCCUCCGCCA